AGUGAACGCUGGCGGUAGGCCUAACACAUGCAAGUCGAACGGCAGCACAGUAAGAGCUUGCUCUUACGGGUGGCGAGUGGCGGACGGGUGAGGAAUACAUCGGAAUCUACUUUUUCGUGGGGGAUAACGUAGGGAAACUUACGCUAAUACCGCAUACGACCUACGGGUGAAAGCAGGGGAUCUUCGGACCUUGCGCGAUUGAAUGAGCCGAUGUCGGAUUAGCUAGUUGGCGGGGUAAAGGCCCACCAAGGCGACGAUCCGUAGCUGGUCUGAGAGGAUGAUCAGCCACACUGGAACUGAGACACGGUCCAGACUCCUACGGGAGGCAGCAGUGGGGAAUAUUGGACAAUGGGCGCAAGCCUGAUCCAGCCAUACCGCGUGGGUGAAGAAGGCCUUCGGGUCGUAAAGCCCUUUUGUUGGGAAAGAAAAGCAGCAGGUUAAUACCCCGCUGUUCUGACGGUACCCAAAGAAUAAGCACCGGCGAACUUCGU
RNAcentral lists this ribosomal RNA (491 nucleotides) under uncultured bacterium. Its description in RNAcentral is "partial 16S ribosomal RNA". It matches the Rfam family "Bacterial small subunit ribosomal RNA", at positions 29 to 506 of the family's 1533-position model. The record is from RNAcentral.